GAUCCUGGCUCAGAACGAACGCUGGCGGCGCGUCUUAAGCAUGCAAGUCGGACGGCAAGGAAGGGGCUUGCUCCUUCCCUAGAGUGGCGGACUGGUGAGUAACACGCGGGUGAUGCACCUCCUGGACGGGGAUAGCCGGUAGAAAUACCGGGUAAUACCGGAUAAGGACGCUCCUGUAGAGGGGAGCGUGGAAAGGGGCUACGGCCCCGCCGGGAGAGCGGCCCGCGCACUAUUAGCUUGUUGGUGGGGUAACGGCCCACCAAGGCG
Molecule: ribosomal RNA, 267 nt
Filed under: uncultured bacterium
Lineage: Bacteria
Description: partial 16S ribosomal RNA
Rfam family: Bacterial small subunit ribosomal RNA
Source: RNAcentral